Molecule: long non-coding RNA, 199 nt
Filed under: Elaeis guineensis (African oil palm)
Lineage: Eukaryota; Viridiplantae; Streptophyta; Magnoliopsida; Arecales; Arecaceae
Description: long non-coding RNA (EGUI_LNC023316)
Source: RNAcentral
CACUCAAAAUAAUAAACCUGAAGACUCUCUGUCAGUCGACAAAUUGGAUCAAAGAGACAAUCAAGAGAGGGGUGAACCAGCUGAACGACUGGUUCAUAUCCCAUUAAGAGAAGAAGAUCUCGAGAAAAUGGUCCAAAUUGGAUCGUAACUGUCCGACUCAGCGGCAAUAAUUAAUAAAAAUACUCAAAGCCAAUGCUGA